RNAcentral lists this ribosomal RNA (505 nucleotides) under uncultured bacterium. RNAcentral's name for it is "partial 16S ribosomal RNA". It matches the Rfam family "Bacterial small subunit ribosomal RNA", at positions 28 to 507 of the family's 1533-position model. The record is from RNAcentral.
GACGAACGCUGGCGGCGUGCCUAAUACAUGCAAGUAGAACGCACAGUUUAUACCGUAGCUUGCUACACCAUAGACUGUGAGUUGCGAACGGGUGAGUAACGCGUAGGUAACCUGCCUGGUAGCGGGGGAUAACUAUUGGAAACGAUAGCUAAUACCGCAUAAUAUUAAUUAUUGCAUGAUAAUUAAUUGAAAGGUGCAAUUGCACCACUACCAGAUGGACCUGCGUUGUAUUAGCUAGUAGGUGAGGUAACGGCUCGCCUAGGCGACGAUACAUAGCCGACCUGAGAGGGUGAUCGGCCACACUGGGACUGAGACACGGCCCAGACUCCUACGGGAGGCAGCAGUAGGGAAUCUUCGGCAAUGGACGAAAGUCUGACCGAGCAACGCCGCGUGAGUGAAGAAGGUUUUCGGAUCGUAAAGCUCUGUUGUAAGAGAAGAACGGGUGUGAGAGUGGAAAGUUCACACUGUGACGGUAUCUGACCAGAAAGGGACGGCUAACUACGUG